AUUGCUGAGGGCUGAAAGGCGUUUUGCCUGCUACAUUGGCCAUGGAUUUGACUGCAUUGGUAGGUUGGUGGUAAAGGCAACAUUGGGCAAAACCACGAAGCUGUUGAAUUUGUAUGUGGCGAAUGAUGAGUUGGAUACAUUAUGUGUCCGUGAGUGGAUAUGCUCAAGAAAUAAAUAUCGAGAAUUUAUUUGCGAACCGAAUGAUAGAUUGGAAUGGUUGGCAUGUGCUUGAGCUUUUCAUCGGGAAAGGCGGUACUACGUGCGGCUCAGAGGCAGAAACUACAGUACGUGUAGGAGAAAUUCCAAGACGUAUUUGGGAAAACAGCUGGCAGAUUGGUCCCCCUGUAGGGGCGCAAAUGAAAAGAAUGGCGAAGAUAAAAGGAAUUGCACGCUCUUUUGGGUACUGGCCGAAGAUUGAUUCGGAUAUUGAGGUAAUGGCAAGGAAAUGCUACAGAUACGCAAGCGUGGCGAACCGACCGAGAAAGGUGACAGAACAUCAUUGGGAGUACCCGAAAGGGCCAUGGGAACGCGUGCAUAUGGAUUAUGCGGGGCCAAUCCAGGGCAUGAUGCUUUUGAUAGUUAUUGACGCGUAUAGUAAGUGGCUGGAGGUGAAGGUGAUCCAUCGACCAACAGCAAGGCUGAGCGAAGUGUUCAGACCGUAAAGAACGCUUUGAAGGCUAUGGGUACAACAAGGCAGACGCUGCAAGAAAACCUCAAUAAACUUCUCAGGCAAUACAAAAGUGCCCCUCACUCGAGGUCAGGUGUGUCACCGGCUCAGCUAUUUUUGGGGCUGCAAUUGAGAACGUGACUUGAUUUGGUGAAACCUGAAAGUAUCCCCGAAAGGAUAGAAUCUAGGCGGUAUUUAAAGAAAGAUAUGGAGGGUGGAAGAAGAUUCGAUGUGCGCGAUGAAGUAUACUUCUUAUUCUCUGGCCAACGAGGGACAAAAUGGCAGAAAGGCGUCGUUACGAAGAAGUUGGGACAGGUCCAUUACGAGUUGGGAAUUGAAAAUAGUCGGGUGAUAAGACAUAUGGAUCAGAUGCGAGGUACGGGCGUAAGGAAUGAAUGACAGUAAUGCUGGAGAAAUGAAUUGCUCAUGGCAUGGAGAAGAAAACGAGGAAAUGCUUCAAGUGGACAAGUACGACGAAAUCACAGCAGUUUGAGCAAUAGCAAUCAAGAACGUCAGACAACACAGCACAGUGCCAUAAAAAUGAGGAAUUGAGUGCUCAAACAUGUGAUAGCAACUUCUACGUUUUUAAAGCGGUGAUGAAUACCCAACCCCCUCUCUGCAGCUUAAGAGUCAACCGAUGAUGUCGUCCUCUGAGACAAUUCCACAGCAACGACCAACGCGGUCGCCUUCUCUCUGUAGAAGGAGAUAAAUGUUAUAUCUGAAUUCGUAUGAUUAGAAUACUCUUCUAUUAGUAAUCGUUUUUCGUUUAUUUAUCAUCAUUAGCUUGCUGUCUUCUUCUUAUUUAUUUUUCACCUACAUGAAAUCUGUCUUUUAACGAACAUGGUGAAAUACAUUAUUGUAAACGUUUAAGUCAAA
This is a long non-coding RNA of Stomoxys calcitrans (stable fly), 1543 nucleotides long. RefSeq lists it as uncharacterized. The transcript has 2 exons. Lineage: Eukaryota; Metazoa; Arthropoda; Insecta; Diptera; Muscidae. The record is from RefSeq and is a predicted model, not a curated record.